Long non-coding RNA from Vidua macroura (Pin-tailed whydah), 709 nucleotides. RefSeq lists it as uncharacterized. The transcript has 2 exons. The record is from RefSeq and is a predicted model, not a curated record. Lineage: Eukaryota; Metazoa; Chordata; Aves; Passeriformes; Viduidae.
GGGGCCGCCCAGGGGCCCGCCGCCCACGUCGCCGUUGAGGUGCGCGGCGCUGACGUUGGGCGGGGUGAUGGCGGCGGCGGCGGAGCUCAGCUGUUUCCUGCACCCCCGGGCCCUCCUCCUAAGGGGUUCGGUUCUGGAGCAAUGCGACACGGGACCUAAGGGGUUAGCCCAGAUGAUCCACGCUGACCCUGCAGACAGCAAUUACAAAAGGAGGUGUCUUGUUUCAUCCCUAACAAAAUCAUCAACAUCACAUCACUGUGCUGCACAGGAUAAAUUAAGCAGAAAUUCACCGGAGGAUUUCUGAGCUCAGCCUCCUCUCUGCCAGCAAAGUCCCUAAGGAACUAUGCAGUGCCUUUUAGUCUGGCUGCUCCUGCUAAGCAAACCCUGCCUGCGAGCAGUGGGAACCAGGAAUUAGAGCUUGCCCAUUUAACGGUGACUGUGACACACUGAUGAGGUCUGCUCCCCAGGGAUUCCAGAGCAUGUUGCAUGCUUCAGGAUGUGACAUGUGACAAAGCUCUGGGUCCAUUUCCACAAUGAUGUUGUCUAUGAUUUCCAGCUUGGUUGAUUACUUAGGUGCUACCUAAAUACAGCUCCACUUCAAGUAUGUGCAGCCUAAAAGCAGAGUCCAUACUCAGACAUUCCCUCACAUAAAUGAUUCAAUAAUAGGACUGGCUGGAAAGUGCCCAUUUCAUAAAUGGUUUCAAGGUUU